AUUAUUAAAUAAAAAUAAUUUGAGGAAAGUCCGGGCUCCCAAAAGAUUCACACUUGCUGGGUAACUCCCAGUGCAGGUGACUGUGAGGAUAGUGCCACAGAAAUAUACCGCCCUGGUCAUUCUGGCCAAGGUAAGGGUGCAAUGGUGUGGUAAGAGCACACCAGCAGUAUCGUGAGGUACUGGCUAGGUAAACCCCGGUGGGGAGCAAGGUCGGAGGAGCAAUGGUUGAUCUUUUUCCAGUUCCGUUUUUGGUGAACCGCUAGAGGCUCAGGGUAACUUGAGUCCAAGAUAGAUAACUGCCCUGAAUUUAAUUCAGAACAGAACCCGGCUUACGUCCUACUCUUCAU
Molecule: RNase P RNA, 347 nt
Filed under: Synechococcaceae cyanobacterium RL_1_2
Lineage: Bacteria; Bacillati; Cyanobacteriota; Cyanophyceae; Synechococcales; Synechococcaceae
Description: partial RNase P RNA component class A
Rfam family: Bacterial RNase P class A
About the family: Ribonuclease P (RNase P) is a ubiquitous endoribonuclease, found in archaea, bacteria and eukarya as well as chloroplasts and mitochondria. Its best characterised activity is the generation of mature 5'-ends of tRNAs by cleaving the 5'-leader elements of precursor-tRNAs. Cellular RNase Ps are ribonucleoproteins.
Source: RNAcentral